AUGCCUCGCUUCCUCCGGACCACCUCCAUCCAGCUGGACGCCCAUUUACUUCGCAUCAAGCUGCCGGACGCUGAGCUCCCCGCGCUGGAGAGGCUGUCACUCUCUGGCAACAUCGUUGACCUUGCAGCCUUUCUCGACCGCUGCCUGCGGUUGCGGGUGCUGAGGGUCACCUACCGUGAGGUCGAGCCCAGCUUGCUCGAAGCGGCCCUUGUCGCGCUCGAGGUUCCUGUGGAGCUUGGCCUUAUUGUGUCCCUCCUCGGCAUCGAGUUCGGCCACGCUCAUGGGAACUACGAUGUUGAAGACGCUCAGUUUGCACCCAUUCUCCAUGCCGCGGCGAGGCUCUCCCCGCGGGAGCUUGUCUUCAUCAACAACUUCCGCAGAUGCCUUAGUGCCGACCUGCCCUGCUUCCGUAAUGCCACAUCGAUUGCGAUGACGUUGCGGUUUGUCUGUUUCACACGACUAAUGUCGGCUGACCGGUUCUCGGCACUUGAGAGGUUGUCUCUCGUGGGUUGCACCGUCCUCGACCUUGCCACCACAGUCAACCGAUGCCCAUGUCUGCGUGUGCUUAUGGUGAAAGCUCAUAGGUCUGCACAUGAUGUUACAGUGCGCUCUGUGUCGCUGCAAGCGCUUGAGCUUGGUGUCCACGAAACGGAAUGUAAGGGCAUCAAGAUCGCGACUCCGAUACUUGAGCAACUGAAGUUUAGUGUUCAUGCAAGCUCGGACCUCAGCGUCUCUGUCUCGGCGCCAAUGUUGGAGAAGGUUUCUUCAGAAAAUGGAGGUCGACACGAUAGAGGACUACAAAUAUAA
Molecule: ribosomal RNA, 807 nt
Filed under: Triticum aestivum (bread wheat)
Lineage: Eukaryota; Viridiplantae; Streptophyta; Magnoliopsida; Poales; Poaceae
Description: partial small subunit ribosomal RNA
Source: RNAcentral